Molecule: ribosomal RNA, 865 nt
Filed under: uncultured bacterium
Lineage: Bacteria
Description: bacterial SSU rRNA
Rfam family: Bacterial small subunit ribosomal RNA
Source: RNAcentral
AUUGAACGCUGGCGGCAUGCCUUACACAUGCAAGUCGAACGGCAGCACGGGAGCAAUCCUGGUGGCGAGUGGCGAACGGGUGAGUAAUACAUCGGAACGUGCCCAAUCGUGGGGGAUAACGCAGCGAAAGCUGUGCUAAUACCGCAUGAGAUCUACGGAUGAAAGCAGGGGACCGCAAGGCCUUGCGCGAAUGGAGCGGCCGAUGGCANAUUANGUAGUUGGUGAGGUAAAGGCUCNCCAAGCCUGCGAUCUGUAGCUGGUCUGAGAGGACGACCAGCCACACUGGGACUGAGACACGGCCCAGACUCCUACGGGAGGCAGCAGUGGGGAAUUUUGGACAAUGGGCGCAAGCCUGAUCCAGCCAUGCCGCGUGCAGGAUGAAGGCCUUCGGGUUGUAAACUGCUUUUGUACGGAACGAAAAGGCUUUCUCUAAUAAAGGGGGCUCAUGACGGUACCGUAAGAAUAAGCACCGGCUAACUACGUGCCAGCAGCCGCGGUAAUACNUAGGGUGCAAGCGUUAAUCNGAAUUACUGGGCGUAAAGCGUGCGCAGGCGGUGAUGUAAGACAGUUGUGAAAUCCCCGGGCUCAACCUGGGAACUGCAUCUGUGACUGCAUCGCUGGAGUGCGGCAGAGGGGGAUGGAAUUCCGCGUGUAGCAGUGAAAUGCGUAGAUAUGCGGAGGAACACCGAUGGCGAACGCAAUCCCCUGGGCCUGCACUGACGCUCAUGCACGAAAGNGUGGGGAGCAAACANGAUUAGAUACCCUGGUAGUCCACGCCGUAAACUAUGAGAGCUAGCCGNCGGGCAGUAUACUGUNCGGUGCGCANCAAACGCAUUAAGCUCUCCGCCUGGGANUACGGUCGCAG